CCCUGCCUUUUGUACACACCGCCCGUCGCUACUACCGAUUGAACGGCUUAGUGAGUUUUAUGGACCGGCGCUGUUGUUGGGUUUCCCUUCAAUACGUGCUGCGGAAGUAAAUCAAACUUGAUCGUUUA
This 128-nucleotide ribosomal RNA is filed under the name uncultured eukaryote. RNAcentral's name for it is "partial small subunit ribosomal RNA". It matches the Rfam family "Eukaryotic small subunit ribosomal RNA", at positions 1651 to 1775 of the family's 1831-position model. The record is from RNAcentral.